This 497-nucleotide ribosomal RNA is filed under the name uncultured bacterium. RNAcentral's name for it is "partial 16S ribosomal RNA". It matches the Rfam family "Bacterial small subunit ribosomal RNA", at positions 28 to 507 of the family's 1533-position model. The record is from RNAcentral.
GAUGAACGCUGGCGGCGUGCCUAAUACAUGCAAGUCGAGCGAACGGACGAGAAGCUUGCUUCUCUGAUGUUAGCGGCGGACGGGUGAGUAACACGUGGAUAACCUACCUAUAAGACUGGGAUAACUUCGGGAAACCGGAGCUAAUACCGGAUAAUAUUUUGAACCGCAUGGUUCAAAAGUGAAAGACGGUCUUGCUGUCACUUAUAGAUGGAUCCGCGCUGCAUUAGCUAGUUGGUAAGGUAACGGCUUACCAAGGCAACGAUGCAUAGCCGACCUGAGAGGGUGAUCGGCCAAACUGGAACUGCGACACGGUCCAGACUCCUACGGGAGGCAGCAUUAGGGAAUCUUCCGCAAUGGGCGAAAGCCUGACGGAGCAACGCCGCGUGAGUGAUGAAGGUCUUCGGAUCGUAAAACUCUGUUAUUAGGGAAGAACAUAUGUGUAAGUAACUGUGCACAUCUUGACGGUACCUAAUCAGAAAGCCACGGCUAACUACGUG